RNAcentral lists this ribosomal RNA (520 nucleotides) under uncultured bacterium. Its description in RNAcentral is "bacterial SSU rRNA". It matches the Rfam family "Bacterial small subunit ribosomal RNA", at positions 777 to 1297 of the family's 1533-position model. The record is from RNAcentral.
AAUAGAUACCCGGGUAGUCCACGCCGUAAACGGUGGGCACUAGAUGUGGGGCUCUUUCCAUGAGUUCCGCGUCGCAGCUAACGCAUUAAGUGCCCCGCCUGGGGAGUACGGCCGCAAGGCUAAAACUCAAAGGAAUUGACGGGGGCCCGCACAAGCGGCGGAGCAUGCGGAUUAAUUCGAUGCAACGCGAAGAACCUUACCAAGGCUUGACAUAUACGGUCUAUCCCUAGAGAUAGGGAGUGCUUCGGCGCCGUAUACAGGUGGUGCAUGGUUGUCGUCAGCUCGUGUCGUGAGAUGUUGGGUUAAGUCCCGCAACGAGCGCAACCCUCGUCCUAUGUUGCCAGCGGAUAAUGCCGGGGACUCAUGGGAGACUGCCGGGGUCAACUCGGAGGAAGGUGGGGAUGAGGUCAAAUCAUCAUGCCCCUUAUGUCUUGGGCUUCACGCAUGCUACAAUGGCCGGUACAAAGGGCUGCAAUACCGCGAGGUGGAGCGAAUCCCAAAAAGCCGGUCUCAGUUCGGA